ACUCCUACGGGAGGCAGCAGUGGGGAAUAUUGCACAAUGGGCGCAAGCCUGAUGCAGCAACGCCGCGUGCGGGAUGACGGCCUUCGGGUUGUAAACCGCUUUCAGUAGGGACGAAGCGUGAGUGACGGUACCUACAGAAGAAGGACCGGCUAACUACGUGCCAGCAGCCGCGGUGAUACGUAGGGUCCGAGCGUUGUCCGGAAUUAUUGGGCGUAAAGGGCUUGUAGGCGGUCCGUCGCGUCAGGAGUGAAAACUCGGGGCUUAACCCCGAGCCUGCUUUUGAUACGGGCGGACUAGAGGGAUGCAGGGGAGAACGGAAUUCCUGGUGGAGCGGUGGAAUGCGCAGAUAUCAGGAGGAACACCGGUGGCGAAGGCGGUUCUCUGGGCAUCACCUGACGCUGAGAAGCGAAAGCGUGGGGAGCAAACAGGCUUAGAUACCCUGGUAGUCCACGCCGUAAACGGUGGGCACUAGGUGUGGGGGACAUUCCACGUUCUCCGUGCCGAAGCUAACGCAUUAAGUGCCCCGCCUGGGGAGUACGGCCGCAAGGCUAAAACUCAAAGGAAUUGACGGGGGCCCGCACAAGCGGCGGAGCAUGCGGAUUAAUUCGAUGCAACGCGAAGAACCUUACCUGGGUUUGACAUACACCGGAAAGCUGCAGAGAUGUAGCCCCCGCAAGGUCGGUGUACAGGUGGUGCAUGGCUGUCGUCAGCUCGUGUCGUGAGAUGUUGGGUUAAGUCCCGCAACGAGCGCAACCCUCGUUCUAUGUUGCCAGCACGUACUGGUGGGGACUCAUAGGAGACUGCCGGGGUCAACUCGGA
Molecule: ribosomal RNA, 819 nt
Filed under: uncultured Actinomycetes bacterium
Lineage: Bacteria; Bacillati; Actinomycetota; Actinomycetes
Description: bacterial SSU rRNA
Rfam family: Bacterial small subunit ribosomal RNA
Source: RNAcentral